UACAGAGGUCCCAAGCGUUUCGGAUUCACUGGGCGUAAAGGGUGCGUAGGUGGUAAGGCAAGUCAGGUGUGAAAUCUCCGGGCUCAACCCGGAAAUGGCAUUCGAAACUACCUUGCUAGAGGGUUUGAGGGGGGACUGGAAUACUUGGUGUAGCAGUGAAAUGCGUAGAUAUCAAGUGGAACACCAGUGGCGAAGGCGAGUCCCUGGAAAACUCCUGACACUGAGGCACGAAAGCUAGGGGAGCAAACAGG
This 251-nucleotide ribosomal RNA is filed under the name uncultured bacterium. RNAcentral describes it as "partial 16S ribosomal RNA". It matches the Rfam family "Bacterial small subunit ribosomal RNA", at positions 524 to 776 of the family's 1533-position model. The record is from RNAcentral.